Molecule: ribosomal RNA, 497 nt
Filed under: uncultured bacterium
Lineage: Bacteria
Description: partial 16S ribosomal RNA
Rfam family: Bacterial small subunit ribosomal RNA
Source: RNAcentral
GAUGAACGAUGGCGGCGUGCCUAAUACAUGCAAGUCGAGCGAACGGACGAGAAGCUUGCUUUUCUGAUGUUAGCGGCGGACGGGUGAGUAACACGUGGAUAACCUACCUAUAAGACUGGGAUAACUUCGGGAAACCGGAGCUAAUACCGGAUAAUAUUUUGAACCGCAUGGUUCAAAAGUGAAAGACGGUCUUGCUGUCACUUAUAGAUGGAUCCGCGCUGCAUUAGCUAGUUGGUAAGGUAACGGCUUACCAAGGCAACGAUGCAUAGCCGACCUGAGAGGGUGAUCGGCCACACUGGAACUGAGACACGGUCCAGACUCCUACGGGAGGCAGCAGUAGGGAAUCUUCCGCAAUGGGCGAAAGCCUGACGGAGCAACGCCGCGUGAGUGAUGAAGGUCUUCGGAUCGUAAAACUCUGUUAUUAGGGAAGAACAUAUGUGUAAGUAACUGUGCACAUCUUGACGGUACCUAAUCAGAAAGCCACGGCUAACUACGUG